CCUCUGCUUGGGCACAGGAAUAACCCAAAACUAUACGGAGCUACCAAGUACCAAUGGUGGUGUGCAUUUGGUACUGUGUCGAAUUGUAGGACAGUUAUGUUCCUGUUGCCAAACAGUCUGUGAUCUGAGACAGGGCUUAGGCCUUGGGGUUUAAUAUUAGGGCAACGUCGUCAUCGGAAAAUCUCCAUCCGCUUCGAAAAAAACCCAUAAACCCUAGAGUCCUCUGCCUUCGUGGCUUCGGAACAAGUGAUCAGAGAUCCUUACGGCGCAGAUAAGUAAAUGGCUGGAAACUGUUCUCCGAAAUCUCGAUCUCGAAUUCCUCGAUGGUCCGUUUCCGAUCGAAGGCUUCUUCCUCCCACCGUGUUACGAUCCGAACCAGAGUAGCAAGGUUCAUCUCGAAAGUACCCUCUUUUUUUGUUAUAAUUACGAAUCAGUUUCACGUCCGACAAAAAAAAGUUCAGAUUUUGUUUUAUAAAACUGGCAAGGUUUAUUGACGAAUUGCGAUUGGGAUGAUGACGUAGUAGAAAUUUGAUUCCGUUUAAUGGUUAUGGAGUGACUCGAUAAAGUUUUAGACGUUGGGAGCUGAAAACAGAGAGGCUCUGCAUGGCGAACGUCGUUCCAGUGUUGAUGUUGAACUCGAAUGCUUGACCGAGUUAAGUCUGCUGCUGUAACAGGGACGCAAAAACAGGGGAAUAGGAUUUCUUGAAGGAAGAAGGCAAAGCUCUGUGAUGUCAUCAAAGAGGGCAUGUCCUUGGUUAGCGAAAACCAAAAACGCAACAAUCUUUUAUGAUUUCUUGGUACGCUAAAGCUGGUACGAGAAUGGGAAGAUUAAUUCUAUAGUGAAACAAGAGAUUUAUACUUAUGGAUCGAUUUCUUGGUAGAUAUGGGAAGUUCUGAGAUUAUUUGGGUUUCUCUCCUCUUUUGCAUACGAGAAGGCCAAGGAAGAAACCUCGAGCUUCUUCCAGAGGUUCAGAUGAUGCUUUCUGACGACACAAACUGAUAAUGUUCUAUGCUUAGUGACUUGGUUUACUUACGGAUCGAAGUCGAUUUGCCGUGGUGGAAUUCAACCUCAUUCGGUUUUCAAUUCAA
This is a long non-coding RNA of Tarenaya hassleriana, 1089 nucleotides long. RefSeq lists it as uncharacterized. The transcript has 2 exons. Lineage: Eukaryota; Viridiplantae; Streptophyta; Magnoliopsida; Brassicales; Cleomaceae. The record is from RefSeq and is a predicted model, not a curated record.